UGGCGGCGUGCUUAACACAUGCAAGUCGAACGAUGAACCACUUCGGUGGGGAUUAGUGGCGAACGGGUGAGUAACACGUGGGCAAUCUGCCCUGCACUCUGGGACAAGCCCUGGAAACGGGGUCUAAUACCGGAUACUGAUCCUCGCAGGCAUCUGCGAGGUUCGAAAGCUCCGGCGGUGCAGGAUGAGCCCGCGGCCUAUCAGCUAGUUGGUGAGGUAACGGCUCACCAAGGCGACGACGGGUAGCCGGCCUGAGAGGGCGACCGGCCACACUGGGACUGAGACACGGCCCAGACUCCUACGGGAGGCAGCAGUGGGGAAUAUUGCACAAUGGGCGAAAGCCUGAUGCAGCGACGCCGCGUGAGGGAUGACGGCCUUCGGGUUGUAAACCUCCUUCAGCAGGGAAGAAGCGAAAGUGACGGUACCUGCAGAAGAAGCGCCGGCUAACUACGUGCCAGCAGCCGCGGUAAUACGUAGGGCGCAAGCGUUGUCCGGAAUUAUUGGGCGUAAAGAGCUCGUAGGCGGCUUGUCACGUCGGUUGUGAAAGCCCCGGGCUUAACCCCGGGUCUGCAGUCGAUACGGGCAGGCUAGAGUUCGGUAGGGGAGAUCGGAAUUCCUGGUGUAGCGGUGAAAUGCGCAGAUAUCAGGAGGAACACCGGUGGCGAAGGCGGAUCUCUGGGCCGAUACUGACGCUGAGGAGCGAAAGCGUGGGGAGCGAACAGGAUUAGAUACCCUGGUAGUCCACGCCGUAAACGGUGGGCACUAGGUGUGGGCAACAUUCCACGUUGUCCGUGCCGCAGCUAACGCAUUAAGUGCCCCGCCUGGGGAGUACGGCCGCAAGGCUAAAACUCAAGGGAAUUGACGGGGGCCCGCACAAGCGGCGGAGCAUGUGGCUUAAUUCGACGCAACGCGAAGAACCUUACCAAGGCUUGACAUACACCGGAAAACCCUGGAGACAGGGUCCCCCUUGUGGUCGGUGUACAGGUGGUGCAUGGCUGUCGUCAGCUCGUGUCGUGAGAUGUUGGGUUAAGUCCCGCAACGAGCGCAACCCUUGUCCCGUGUUGCCAGCAGGCCCUUGUGGUGCUGGGGACUCACGGGAGACCGCCGGGGUCAACUCGGAGGAAGGUGGGGACGACGUCAAGUCAUCAUGCCCCUUAUGUCUUGGGCUGCACACGUGCUACAAUGGCCGGUACAAUGAGCUGCGAUACCGCGAGGUGGAGCGAAUCUCAAAAAGCCGGUCUCAGUUCGGAUUGGGGUCUGCAACUCGACCCCAUGAAGUCGGAGUCGCUAGUAAUCGCAGAUCAGCAUUGCUGCGGUGAAUACGUUCCCGGGCCUUGUACACACCGCCCGUCACGUCACGAAAGUCGGUAACACCCGAAGCCGGUGGCCCAACCCCUUGUGGGAGGGAGCUGUCG
Molecule: ribosomal RNA, 1415 nt
Filed under: Streptomyces sp.
Lineage: Bacteria; Bacillati; Actinomycetota; Actinomycetes; Kitasatosporales; Streptomycetaceae
Description: bacterial SSU rRNA
Rfam family: Bacterial small subunit ribosomal RNA
Source: RNAcentral